UCGGCCCCUAAGGCGAGGCAGAAAUGCGUAGUCGAUGGGAAGCAUGUUAAUAUUCCUGCACCGACGUGUAAUGCGAUGGGGGGACGGAUCGUGGAAAGUGGUCCAGGUGUUGGAUAUCCUGGUCCCUGCAUCAUAGAGGACAGUUAGGCAAAUCCGGCUGUCAUAUACUCAAGGGUGUGGGGGGAAGUAGCUACGGCUACGAACCCAUUGGAAGUGGUCCCAAGAAAAGCCUCUAAGCUUCAGUUACACGUUGACCGUACCGCAAACCGACACAGGUGGGCGAGAUGAGUAUUCUAAGGCGCUUGAGAGAACUCGGGAGAAGGAACUCGGCAAAUUGACACCGUAACUUCGGAAGAAGGUGUGCCUUUAGUAGGUGAAGUCCCUCGCGGAUGGAGCCCAAUGAGGUUGCAAAAAAUCGGUGGCUGCGACUGUUUAUUAAAAACACAGCACUCUGCAAACACGAAAGUGGACGUAUAGGGUGUGACGCCUGCCCGGUGCUGGAAGAUUAAAUGAUGGGGUGCAAGCUCUUGAUUGAAGUCCCAGUAAACGGCGGCCGUAACUAUAACGGUCCUAAGGUAGCGAAAUUCCUUGUCGGGUAAGUUCCGACCUGCAUGAAUGGUAUAACGACUUCUUUACUGUCUCCAGCAUAAUCUUGGUGAAUUUGAAAUGCCCGUGAAGAUGCGGGCUAUUUGCGGCUAGACGGAAAGACCCCGUGCACCUUUACUAUGAUUUUAAGUUGUAAAAUUAGAUUUUACGUGUAGCAUAGGUGGGAGCUUGUAGCACUAGUGAAAUACCACCCUUAGUGUUUAAUUUUACUUAAUUUAUUUUUAAAGACAGCUUAUGAAAGUUAGUUUGACUGGGGCGGUCGCCUCCUAAAAGGUAACGGAGGCGUACAAAGGUUUCCUCAGAUCGGUCAGAAAUCGAUCUUAGAGUGCAAAGGCAAAAGGAAGCUUAACUGUGAGACAAACAAGUCGAGCAGAGACGAAAGUCGGUCUUAGUGAUCUGACGCUGCUGUGUGGAAAGGGCGUCACUCAACGGAUAAAAGUUACUCUAAGGAUAACAGGCUGAUCUCCCCCAAGAGUUCCUAUCGACGGGGAGGUUUGGCACCUCGAUGUCGGCUCAUCUCAUCCUGGGGCUGUAGCCGGUCCCAAGGGUAUGGCUGUUCGCCAUUUAAAGAGGUACGUGAGCUGGGUUUAAAACGUCGUGAGACAGUUUGGUCCCUAUCUUCCGUGGGCGCUGCAGAUUUGAGGAAGCCUGCUCCUAGUACGAGAGGACCGGAGUGGACACACCUCUGGUGUAUCGGUUGUCACGCCAGUGGCAUUGCCGAGUAGCUAAGUGUGGAAGAGAUAACCGCUGAAAGCAUCUAAGCGGGAAACUCGUUUCAAGAUGAGAUCUGCCGGGGCCUUGAGCCCCCUAAAGAGUCGUUCAAGACCAGGACGUUGAUAGGUCAGGUGUGGAAGCGAAA
RNAcentral lists this ribosomal RNA (1465 nucleotides) under Epipyxis sp. PR26KG. RNAcentral's name for it is "bacterial LSU rRNA". It matches the Rfam family "Bacterial large subunit ribosomal RNA", at positions 1384 to 2878 of the family's 2925-position model. The record is from RNAcentral. Lineage: Eukaryota; Chrysophyceae; Chromulinales; Dinobryaceae.